Molecule: non-coding RNA, 949 nt
Organism: Bubalus bubalis (water buffalo)
Lineage: Eukaryota; Metazoa; Chordata; Mammalia; Artiodactyla; Bovidae
Source: the annotation of a RefSeq genome assembly
CCCAGGGCACCCACCUUGACCCUGAUCCACUAUGGGCUUCAGGCAGCUCUGCUGUGUGGUCCUCUGUCUCCUGGGCAUAGCCAUCUCCGCGGACCCUGGGAUCACUCAGAUACCAAAAUACCUAGUCAUGGGAAUGACGGACAAGAAAUCUUUGACAUGUGAACAACAUCUGGGACAUAAUGCUAUGUACUGGUAUAAACAGAGCGCCCAGAAGCCGCCAGAGCUCAUGUUUAUCCACAACUACCAGAAACUCACUGGAAAUGAGAGUGUUCCAAGCCGCUUCUGGUCUGAAUGCCCAGACAGCUCUCAGUGCCGCCUGGACCUGAACGCCCUGAAACCACAGGACUCCGCCGUCUAUCUCUGCGCCAGCAGUAGAGACACAGCCCUGCAGAGGCAAUUCCUUCCUGUGCACAAACCUCCAGGGUCCAGACAGGAAGCCGUGGGGGCCAUCCAAGUCUUGGUUUGGCAUUUCCCAUCAGACCAUAGCCCUGUCUGUGGGGUCACGUGGCAAGGCGGUGAAGAGUUUCUUCCCAGACAUCAACAGUGUAUGCCGGGCUCGUCCUGAGAAAGACUGUGCCAAGCCAUUCAAGUUUAAGCAGUUUCUUCAUCUGCUUUUCCCAAUCGCUUUGAUCCUCUGGGAACCCUUUCGUAAGACCCUUGGCCCUCUGGCCACAGCAGUCCUACCUACCCUCCUUCUAAAAGGUGCUUUUUCUUCGACUUCCCCUUCCAUCCAAGCUAGACCCUAAUCUCAGCCCAGAUCCCAGCUCCAGAUAUGCUCAGACCUUCUUCAAAGCACCUCGUUCUCUCUCCAGGGUCUCUGUCCAUUCCUGCCCUUGAGGACCAUGGACCCCCGAUCCUGUUGGGAUCGCUGUUCUCCAGUUCACCCUCCUGGCUGCUUGUUCAAGGGCUCAGCCCCUCACUGGCCUCUCUUCCACUCCAGCCUUAACCC